RNAcentral lists this ribosomal RNA (857 nucleotides) under Vibrio harveyi. RNAcentral's name for it is "bacterial SSU rRNA". It matches the Rfam family "Bacterial small subunit ribosomal RNA", at positions 65 to 902 of the family's 1533-position model. Lineage: Bacteria; Pseudomonadati; Pseudomonadota; Gammaproteobacteria; Vibrionales; Vibrionaceae. The record is from RNAcentral.
AGCGGAACGAGUUAUCUGAACCUUCGGGGGACGAUAACGGCGUCGAGCGGCGGACGGGUGAGUAAUGCCUAGGAAAUUGCCCUGAUGUGGGGGAUAACCAUUGGAAACGAUGGCUAAUACCGCAUAAUACCUACGGGUCAAAGAGGGGGACCUUCGGGCCUCUCGCGUCAGGAUAUGCCUAGGUGGGAUUAGCUAGUUGGUGAGGUAAUGGCUCACCAAGGCGACGAUCCCUAGCUGGUCUGAGAGGAUGAUCAGCCACACUGGAACUGAGACACGGUCCAGACUCCUACGGGAGGCAGCAGUGGGGAAUAUUGCACAAUGGGCGCAAGCCUGAUGCAGCCAUGCCGCGUGUGUGAAGAAGGCCUUCGGGUUGUAAAGCACUUUCAGUCGUGAGGAAGGUGGUGUAGUUAAUAGCUGCAUUAUUUGACGUUAGCGACAGAAGAAGCACCGGCUAACUCCGUGCCAGCAGCCGCGGUAAUACGGAGGGUGCGAGCGUUAAUCGGAAUUACUGGGCGUAAAGCGCAUGCAGGUGGUUUGUUAAGUCAGAUGUGAAAGCCCGGGGCUCAACCUCGGAAUAGCAUUUGAAACUGGCAGACUAGAGUACUGUAGAGGGGGGUAGAAUUUCAGGUGUAGCGGUGAAAUGCGUAGAGAUCUGAAGGAAUACCGGUGGCGAAGGCGGCCCCCUGGACAGAUACUGACACUCAGAUGCGAAAGCGUGGGGAGCAAACAGGAUUAGAUACCCUGGUAGUCCACGCCGUAAACGAUGUCUACUUGGAGGUUGUGGCCUUGAGCCGUGGCUUUCGGAGCUAACGCGUUAAGUAGACCGCCUGGGGAGUACGGUCGCAAGAUUAAAACUC